RNAcentral lists this ribosomal RNA (525 nucleotides) under uncultured bacterium. RNAcentral's name for it is "partial 16S ribosomal RNA". It matches the Rfam family "Bacterial small subunit ribosomal RNA", at positions 354 to 870 of the family's 1533-position model. The record is from RNAcentral.
UGGGGGAAUUUUGGACAAUGGGCGAAAGCCUGAUCCAGCAAUGCCGCGUGUGUGAAGAAGGCCUUCGGGUUGUAAAGCACUUUUGUCCGGAAAGAAAUCCUUGGCUCUAAUACAGUCGGGGGAUGACGGUACCGGAAGAAUAAGCACCGGCUAACUACGUGCCAGCAGCCGCGGUAAUACGUAGGGUGCAAGCGUUAAUCGGAAUUACUGGGCGUAAAGCGUGCGCAGGCGGUUUGCUAAGACCGAUGUGAAAUCCCCGGGCUCAACCUGGGAACUGCAUUGGUGACUGGCAGGCUAGAGUAUGGCAGAGGGGGGUAGAAUUCCACGUGUAGCAGUGAAAUGCGUAGAGAUGUGGAGGAAUACCGAUGGCGAAGGCAGCCCCCUGGGCCAAUACUGACGCUCAUGCACGAAAGCGUGGGGAGCAAAACAGGAUUAGAUACCCCUGGUAGUCCACGCCCUAAACGAUGUCAACUAGUUGUUGGGGAUUCAUUUCCUUAGUAACGUAGCUAACGCGUGAAGUUGACC